Molecule: ribosomal RNA, 548 nt
Filed under: uncultured bacterium
Lineage: Bacteria
Description: bacterial SSU rRNA
Rfam family: Bacterial small subunit ribosomal RNA
Source: RNAcentral
UGCAGUCGAACGGUAGCACAGAGAGCUUGCUCUCGGGUGACGAGCUGGCGGACGGGUGAGUAAUGUCUGGGAAACUGCCUGAUGGAGGGGGAUAACUACUGGAAACGGUAGCUAAUACCGCAUAACGUCGCAAGACCAAAGAGGGGGACCUUCGGGCCUCUUGCCAUCAGAUGUGCCCAGAUGGGAUUAGCUAGUAGGUGGGGUAACGGCUCACCUAGGCGACGAUCCCUAGCUGGUCUGAGAGGAUGACCAGCCACACUGGAACUGAGACACGGUCCAGACUCCUACGGGAGGCAGCAGUGGGGAAUAUUGCACAAUGGGCGCAAGCCUGAUGCAGCCAUGCCGCGUGUAUGAAGAAGGCCUUCGGGUUGUAAAGUACUUUCAGCGGGGAGGAAGGUGUUGUGGUUAAUAACCGCAGCAAUUGACGUUACCCGCAGAAGAAGCACCGGCUAACUCCGUGCCAGCAGCCGCGGUAAUACGGAGGGUGCAAGCGUUAAUCGGAAUUACUGGGCGUAAAGCGCACGCAGGCGGUCUGUCAAGUCGGAUGU